RNAcentral lists this long non-coding RNA (971 nucleotides) under Olea europaea subsp. europaea. The record is from RNAcentral. Lineage: Eukaryota; Viridiplantae; Streptophyta; Magnoliopsida; Lamiales; Oleaceae.
GCUCAACCCACCCCAUCCCAACCAAAACCUUAGAAAGCCCCAAAUCAUCACCCCCAACAACAGCACCAAAAUCCUUCGACCCAGAAUCCUCAAGCUCCGCUACCUCUCCAUCUACGAUAAGGUUCUAUCUAAUCUCGGCUCAAAUGAUACAUAGUAAUCUCUUAUAAUGGCUCUUUCCAACCUCUCAAGCUGAGUGCACUGCUGAAGAAGCUUAUCCAUGGACUGAGGUCUGAUGAGUACUAAGUUUUCUAGAGAUGGCUAUUAUGAUGAUAAAAUUAACUUCCCCUCGUAUUUUCCAUCUUGUUUCAAAAGUGCAAUUUUGGCAAGUGGAAGUCCAUUCGACCCUGUAGAAUACAAUGGAAAAACUUAUUGUUCCUGGCCAGGUAACAUAUAUGUUUGACUUUGAUUUAUGCAAUUCAACUGUCUUAAAUUGUGGAGGAUUAUAGAUUGAGAAUCAUUCUCUAUGUAAAUUUAGGCUAAUAAUGCUUAUAUAUUUCCUGGAUCUGGUUUUGGUUUGGUCAUCUUUGGUGCUAUUCAUAUGCACGGUAUAUGUUCCUAGCAGCUUGUAAGUACACAGCCAAUUAGAUUGUGUCUUCUUAUGAACUUUGUCUUGAAUGGGGAUUUUGUAGUUAUGUUUUAAAUGAGAAAAGAUUAUGAACAUAUAGAUGAUGAAGGGGGUUGGGUACCUGUUUCUUUUUGGGAUUACUGUUGGAGUAUAGUUGUUUGAAGAGGUAUCAGAUUGAUCUCCAUUAGUUGAAGGAACUUCAAUGAGGAGCAAAGAGACUGUUGGCAAUGUGAUUAGGUUUGAAACUUAUAAUGUAAAUAAUUGACAUUUAUGAAGUUCUUUUUUAUAAUUUUCUAUUGUGAUUGGGAACAUGUUUGAAAAUAAUAUUGUUGAACUUGAGAAAAAAUUGAUUGUGUCCAUACAUAUGAAAAAUUAAUUUUGAAUCAAUUAAACUGGUGCAAACAAG